GUAAAGCUCUGUUAUUAGGGAAGAACAAGUACCGUUUGAAUAAAGCGGUACCUUGACGGUACCUGACUANAAAGCCCCGGCUAACUACGUGCCAGCAGCCGCGGUAAUACGUAGGUGGCAAGCGUUGUCCGGAAUUAUUGGGCGUAAAGCGCGCGCAGGCGGUCCUUUAAGUCUGAUGUGAAAUCCCNCGGCUCAACCGNGGAUGGUCAUUGGAAACUGGAGGACUUGAGUACAGAAGAGGAGAGUGGAAUUCCACGUGUAGCGGUGAAAUGCGUAGAGAUGUGGAGGAACACCAGUGGCGAAGGCGACUCUCUGGUCUGUAACUGACGCUGAGGCGCGAAAGC
This 344-nucleotide ribosomal RNA is filed under the name Firmicutes bacterium SCGC AAA278-I09. Its description in RNAcentral is "bacterial SSU rRNA". It matches the Rfam family "Bacterial small subunit ribosomal RNA", at positions 425 to 760 of the family's 1533-position model. Lineage: Bacteria; Bacillati; Bacillota. The record is from RNAcentral.